CGUGUCGGCCGGAUCAUCGCCUUGCCAUUUGGCAGGGAGGAAAGUCCGAACUCCAUAGGGUACCGUACUUCCUAACGGGAAGGCAUCGCAAUUGCGAUGACGGCAAGUGCAACAGAAAAUAUACCUGCCGAUGAAUUUAUUCAGGUGAGGGGUGAAAUGGUGUGGGUAAGAGCCCACCAGCAUCAUGGGUGAUCAUGGUGGCUAGGUAAACCCUACGGGGAGCAAGACCAAACAGCAUCGCACGCGUAAGCGAUAAGGUGACCCGCCGAACUGCGAUGCGGGUAGGUUGCAUGAGACCAGUGGUGACGCUGGUCCUAGAUAGAUGAUGAUCCUUCUGGUUUAGCUGUCGUGGUUACAGCCCCAGAAGACAGAAUUCGGCUUAUAGGCCUACACGUAAC
RNAcentral lists this RNase P RNA (398 nucleotides) under Bacteroidota bacterium. RNAcentral's name for it is "Bacteroidetes bacterium RNase P RNA component class A". It matches the Rfam family "Bacterial RNase P class A". From Rfam's summary of the family: Ribonuclease P (RNase P) is a ubiquitous endoribonuclease, found in archaea, bacteria and eukarya as well as chloroplasts and mitochondria. Its best characterised activity is the generation of mature 5'-ends of tRNAs by cleaving the 5'-leader elements of precursor-tRNAs. Cellular RNase Ps are ribonucleoproteins. The record is from RNAcentral. Lineage: Bacteria; Pseudomonadati; Bacteroidota.